GCUUACGGCCAUACCACCCUGAGCACGCCCGAUUUCGUCUGAUCUCGGAAGCUAAGCAGGGUCGGGCCUGGUUAGUACUUGGAUGGGAGACCGCCUGGGAAUACCAGGUGCUGUAAGCU
This 119-nucleotide ribosomal RNA is filed under the name Betta splendens (Siamese fighting fish). Lineage: Eukaryota; Metazoa; Chordata; Actinopteri; Anabantiformes; Osphronemidae. The record is from RNAcentral.